GAUUAGGUAGUUGGUGUGGUAAAAGCUCACCAAGCCGACGAUCUGUAGCUGGUCUGAGAGGACGACCAGCCACACUGGAACUGAGACACGGUCCAGACUCCUACGGGAGGUAGCAGUGGGGAAUUUUCCGCAAUGGGCGAAAGCCUGACGGAGCAAUGCCGCGUGGGGGAACAAGGCUCACGGGUCGUAAACCCCUUUUCCCAGAGAAGAAGUCCUGACGGUAUCUGGGGAAUAAGCAUCGGCUAACUCUGUGCCAGCAGCCGCGGUAAGACAGAGGAUGCAAGCGUUAUCCGGAAUGAUUGGGCGUAAAGCGUCUGUAGGUGGCUUCUUAAGUCCGCUGUCAAAUCCCAGGGCUUAACCCUGGCCAGGCGGUGGAGACUACUAAGCUUGAGUACGGUAGGGGCAGAGGGAAUUUCCGGUGGAGCGGUGAAAUGCGUAGAGAUCGGAAAGAACACCAAGGGCGAAGGCACUCUGCUGGGCCGACACUGACACUGAGAGACGAGAGCUAGGGGAGCAAAUGGGAUUAGAUACCCCAGUAGUCCUAGCCGUAAACGAUGGAUACUAAGCGCUGUGCGUAUUGACCCGUACAGUGCUGUAGCUAACGCGUUAAGUAUCCCGCCUGGGGAGUACGCUCGNCAGAGUGAAACUCAAAGGAAUUGACGGGGGCCCGCACAAGCGGUGGAGCAUGUGGUUUAAUUCGAUGNCACGCGAAGAACCUUACCAGGGCUUGACAUGCC
Molecule: ribosomal RNA, 737 nt
Filed under: uncultured bacterium
Lineage: Bacteria
Description: bacterial SSU rRNA
Rfam family: Bacterial small subunit ribosomal RNA
Source: RNAcentral